GGAUCAGCCCGCGCCCCGUAAAACGGGACGGCCCGCCCGAGGACCCCUAAACUCUGUUUUUAGUGGAACUUCUGAGUAAAACAAACAAAUAAAUCAAAACUUUCAACAACGGAUCUCUUGGUUCUGGCAUCGAUGAAGAACGCAGCAAAAUGCGAUAAGUAAUGUGAAUUGCAGAAUUCAGUGAAUCAUCGAAUCUUUGAACGCACAUUGCGCCCGCCAGUAUUCUGGCGGGCAUGCCUGUUCGAGCGUCAUUUCAACCCUCAAGCUCAGCUUGGUGUUGGGACUCGCGGUAACCCGCGUUCCCCAAAUCGAUUGGCGGUCACGUCGAGCUUCCAUAGCGUAGUAAUCAUACACCUCGUUACUGGUAAUCGUCGCGGCCACGCCGUAAAACCCCAACUUCUGAAUGUGACCUCGGAUCAGGUAGGAAUACCCG
Molecule: ribosomal RNA, 433 nt
Filed under: Fusarium equiseti
Lineage: Eukaryota; Fungi; Ascomycota; Sordariomycetes; Hypocreales; Nectriaceae
Description: eukaryotic LSU rRNA
Rfam family: 5.8S ribosomal RNA (bases 98-251)
Source: RNAcentral